CCCGUCACACCAUGGGAGUGGGCUGCAAAAGAAGUAGGUAGUUUAACCUUCGGGGGGACGCUUACCACUUUGUGGUUCAUGACUGGGGUGAAGUCGUAACAAGGUAGCGCUAGGGGAACCUGGCGCUGGAUCACCUCCUUAAACGAUGAU
This 150-nucleotide ribosomal RNA is filed under the name Vibrio parahaemolyticus. Its description in RNAcentral is "partial 16S ribosomal RNA". It matches the Rfam family "Bacterial small subunit ribosomal RNA", at positions 1393 to 1533 of the family's 1533-position model. Lineage: Bacteria; Pseudomonadati; Pseudomonadota; Gammaproteobacteria; Vibrionales; Vibrionaceae. The record is from RNAcentral.